CGCGCCUUCGGGGUGAGCGGCGGACUAAUUAGUAACGCGUGGGAACGUGCCCAGAUCUAAGGAAUAGCCACUGGAAACGGUGAGUAAUACCUUAUACGCCCUUCGGGGGAAAGAUUUAUCGGAUUUGGAUCGGCCCGCGUUAGAUUAGAUAGUUGGUGGGGUAAUGGCCUACCAAGUCUACGAUCUAUAGCUGGUUUUAGAGGAUGAUCAGCAACACUGGGACUGAGACACGGCCCAGACUCCUACGGGAGGCAGCAGUGGGGAAUCUUGGACAAUGGGCGCAAGCCUGAUCCAGCCAUGCCGCGUGAGUGAUGAAGGCCUUAGGGUCGUAAAGCUCUUUCGCCGGAGAUGAUAAUGACAGUAUCAGGUAAAGAAACCCCGGCUAACUCCGUGCCAGCAGACGCGGUAAUACGGAGGGGGUUAGCGUUGUUCGGAAUUACUGGGCGUAAAGCGCGCGUAGGCGGAUUAGAAAGUUGGGGGUGAAAUCCCGGGGCUCAACCCGGAACUGGCUCCAAAACUGCUAGUCUAGAGUUCGAGAGAGGU
RNAcentral lists this ribosomal RNA (543 nucleotides) under uncultured Roseobacter sp. Its description in RNAcentral is "bacterial SSU rRNA". It matches the Rfam family "Bacterial small subunit ribosomal RNA", at positions 79 to 658 of the family's 1533-position model. Lineage: Bacteria; Pseudomonadati; Pseudomonadota; Alphaproteobacteria; Rhodobacterales; Roseobacteraceae. The record is from RNAcentral.